Long non-coding RNA from Oncorhynchus keta (chum salmon), 622 nucleotides. RefSeq lists it as uncharacterized. The record is from RefSeq and is a predicted model, not a curated record. Lineage: Eukaryota; Metazoa; Chordata; Actinopteri; Salmoniformes; Salmonidae. The transcript has 3 exons.
ACCACUCCAGUAUCCCUGCACAUUGAAUAAGGUACUGGUACUGUCCUGUAUAUACUACCACUCCAGUAUCCCUGCAUAUUGAAUAAGGUACUGGUACUGACCUGUAUAUACUACCACUCCAGUAUCCCUGCAUAUUGAAUAAGGUACUGGUACUGACCUGUAUAUACUACCACUCCAGUAUCCCUGCACAUUGAAUAAGGUACUGGUACUGACCUGUAUAUACUACCACUCCAGUAUCCCUGCACAUUGAAUAAGGUACUGGUACUGUCCUGUAUAUACUACCACUCCAGUAUCCCUGCACAUUGAAUAAGGUACUGGUACUGACCUGUAUAUACUACCACUCCAGUAUCCCUGCACAUUGAAUAAGGUACUGGUACUGUCCUGUAUAUACUACCACUUCAGUAUCCCUGCACAUUGAAUAAGGUACUGGUACUGACCUGUAUAUACUACCACUCCAGUAUCCCUGCACAUUGAAUAAGGUACUGGUACUGACCUGUAUAUACUACCACUCCAGUAUCCCUGCAUAUUGAAUAAGGUACUGGUACUGACCUGUAUAUACUACCACUCCAGUAUCCCUGCAUAUUGAAUAAGGUACUGGUACUGACCUGUAUAUACUACCACU